RNAcentral lists this small RNA (154 nucleotides) under human gut metagenome. Its description in RNAcentral is "Clostridiales-1 RNA". It matches the Rfam family "Clostridiales-1 RNA". The record is from RNAcentral.
GAUGCCAGGGUCAAAAGGUCAUGAUUUUCAUGCUUGCAUGAAAAAAAAUGACUUUUUCACCCGCUAAACAUGAGAAAGUAGCCAUUUUUCGAAGAUAAAUGAGCGGAUUGCAAAUGUUUUGUCGAUUUUGAGAGUUCGAAGUAUGGAAAAAUCG